UCCUACGGGAGGCAGCAGUGAGGAAUAUUGGUCAAUGGGCGGAAGCCUGAACCAGCCAAGUCGCGUGAGGGAAUAAGGCCCUACGGGUCGUAAACCUCUUUUGCCGGGGAGCAAGGGCGGGGGCGUGUCCCGGCCCGGAGAGUACCCGGAGAAAAAGCAUCGGCUAACUCCGUGCCAGCAGCCGCGGUAAUACGUAGGGGGCAAGCGUUAUCCGGAUUUACUGGGUGUAAGGGGAGCGUAGACGGCCGUGCAAGUCUGAUGUGAAAACCCGGGGCUCAACCCCGGGACUGCAUUGGAAACUGCAU
Molecule: ribosomal RNA, 305 nt
Filed under: uncultured bacterium
Lineage: Bacteria
Description: bacterial SSU rRNA
Rfam family: Bacterial small subunit ribosomal RNA
Source: RNAcentral